ACGCGCGGAACCUUACCAGGUCUUGACAUCCCAUUGACCGCUAUGGAGACAUAGCUUUCCCUUCGGGGACAGUGGUGACAGGUGGUGCAUGGUUGUCGUCAGCUCGUGUCGUGAGAUGUUGGGUUAAGUCCCGCAACGAGCGCAACCCUUGAUCUUAGUUGCCAGCAGGUAAGGCUGGGCACUCUAAGGUGACUGCCGGUGACAAACCGGAGGAAGGUGGGGAUGACGUCAAAUCAUCAUGCCCCUUAUGACCUGGGCUACACACGUACUACAAUGGCCAGUACAACGGGAAGCGAAGCCGCGAGGUGGAGCGAAUCCUAAAAAGCUGGUCUCAGUUCGGAUUGCAGGCUGCAACUCGCCUGCAUGAAGUCGGAAUUGCUAGUAAUCGCGGAUCAGCAUGCCGCGGUGAAUACGUUCCCGGGUCUUGCACACACCGCCCGU
RNAcentral lists this ribosomal RNA (441 nucleotides) under uncultured bacterium. RNAcentral's name for it is "bacterial SSU rRNA". It matches the Rfam family "Bacterial small subunit ribosomal RNA", at positions 959 to 1397 of the family's 1533-position model. The record is from RNAcentral.